Bos taurus (domestic cattle) is the source of this 73-nucleotide non-coding RNA. Lineage: Eukaryota; Metazoa; Chordata; Mammalia; Artiodactyla; Bovidae. The record is from Rfam.
UUCCCAGUGGCUCAGAUGGUAAAGCGUCUGCCUACAACGCAGGAGACCUGGGUUCAAUCUCUGGGUUGGGAAG